RNAcentral lists this ribosomal RNA (265 nucleotides) under uncultured bacterium. RNAcentral describes it as "partial 16S ribosomal RNA". It matches the Rfam family "Bacterial small subunit ribosomal RNA", at positions 793 to 1055 of the family's 1533-position model. The record is from RNAcentral.
GUCCACGCCCUAAACGAUGUCAACUGGUUGUUGGGUCUUCACUGACUCAGUAACGAAGCUAACGCGUGAAGUUGACCGCCUGGGGAGUACGGCCGCAAGGUUGAAACUCAAAAGGAAUUUACGGGGACCCGCACAAGCGGUGGAUGAUGUGGUUUAAUUCGAUGCAACGCGAAAAACCUUACCCACCUUUGACAUGUACGGAAUUCGCCAGAGAUGGCUUAGUGCUCGAAAGAGAGCCGUAACACAGGUGCUGCAUGGCUGUCGU